RNAcentral lists this transfer RNA (77 nucleotides) under Deltaproteobacteria bacterium. RNAcentral's name for it is "tRNA-Met". It matches the Rfam family "tRNA". Rfam says of the family: Transfer RNA (tRNA) molecules are approximately 80 nucleotides in length. Their secondary structure includes four short double-helical elements and three loops (D, anti-codon, and T loops). The record is from RNAcentral. RNAcentral also lists the same sequence under 4 other names. Lineage: Bacteria; Pseudomonadati; Myxococcota; Myxococcia.
CGCGGGGUGGAGCAGCCUGGUAGCUCGUCGGGCUCAUAACCCGGAGGUCGCAGGUUCAAAUCCUGCCCCCGCUACCA